ACUACGGGGGGCUGCAGUGAGGAAUAUUGGUCAAUGGGCGGAAGCCUGAACCAGCCAAGUAGCGUGCAGGAUGACGGCCCUACGGGUUGUAAACUGCUUUUAUACGGGAAUAACGCGCCUUACGUGUAGGGCUUUGCAUGUACCGUAUGAAUAAGGACCGGCUAAUUCCGUGCCAGCAGCCGCGGUAAUACGGAAGGUCCGGGCGUUAUCCGGAUUUAUUGGGUUUAAAGGGAGCGUAGGCCGCAUGUCAAGCGUGCUGUGAAAUGUCCGGGCUCAACCCGGGCCUUGCAGCGCGAACUGGCGUGCUUGAGUCCGCGGAAAGCAGGCGGAAUUCGUCGUGUAGCGGUGAAAUGCUUAGAUAUGACGAAGAACCCCGAUUGCGAAGGCAGCUUGCUGCAGCGGAACUGACGCUGAUGCUCGAAAGCGCGGGUAUCGAACAGGAUUAGAUACCCUUGUAGUC
Molecule: ribosomal RNA, 460 nt
Filed under: uncultured bacterium
Lineage: Bacteria
Description: partial 16S ribosomal RNA
Rfam family: Bacterial small subunit ribosomal RNA
Source: RNAcentral